This is a long non-coding RNA of Gambusia affinis (western mosquitofish), 993 nucleotides long. RefSeq lists it as uncharacterized. The transcript has 4 exons. The record is from RefSeq and is a predicted model, not a curated record. NCBI's taxonomy places the organism in Eukaryota, Metazoa, Chordata, Actinopteri, Cyprinodontiformes, Poeciliidae.
AAUUGUUUGCCAAACGACGAAGAAGAAGAACCGCGUCGUUAAGGUAACACAGAACAGGUGUGCAUAAUCAAGGCGUGCAAUGACUACAGUGCAACGUAAGCUGGAGUGCAAUUUUAGAACAGUUCUGAGGAGCCGCCUAAAUAAGCCAUCUUGCCGUUUUUGAAGCCUCCGGAAAGCCACCAGUCGAAGUCGCGAGCACCUUUUUGAAGAGGCCGAGGACGGCAAGUCAGCAGGAGGAAGAUGAAGAGGAGGAGGCAUCACGUCGAAGAUGCCACCGCUCAUUUGUCGCAAGCCUGUGGAGUGCAGAGCUGUAAGUAUGAGCAGCAUAUUGAUGAGGAGAUGCAGACUGAUGCAACACAUGCUACAACACCGACGAAAGUACGCACCAAAAACUGGACAAAAGUCGUGGUUCACCGAGUGAGAUUUUGAAGUCGUGGUUCUUCGUACUGGCUCACUUUAAAGCACUGCUUGUGCCACCUCUUGGACAGCUGUUGAUGGAUGCUCCAGGAAGAGCCCACAUCCUUGCGGGUAGUCCUCCAACUGAACAUCAUGGGUUGCUGUCACACCCAAUAGCAUCUUUCUGCAGCUUUUUUACAUUUCUUUCCACAACCUCACUGGCAAGGAGCCUCCCCAAACGUAAUGUGAGCUGUUAUCUUUGUCUGCACCAAUUGUCUCAGCGGUGCCUUGACAAAAGAAGCCGGCAUGUUGAACACUGGCACACAUCAAAGAAAAGCUGUGGAAAACUCGGACUGGCUAGCAGGGCUCAGUGGGGCACACGGUGGAGCGUUGAGGGCUUUGUGCAGAAGAAGCUGUUGGAGAAGGUGUUAAUGGAGAGCUGAGCAUACAGAGUCUCAGUGGUACAGAAAGCAGAGGAGACCUGCCUGUUUGCCUCAGAUGUGGUAAAUGUUGGGUCCCCAUUGACUCCAUUAGAGAUUCAUCUGGCUUUUACGAAAGGGAGCACUAGAAGAGUAUGAUAUGAGUUUAAGAAAAAGG